GAUAGAUUAGCAACAGUGUCUGAUAGUAAGAUAGAAUAAUUUCAUCAUUAUAUUUUAAUGCAAGUUGUGUGAAUGUGAUCUUUCUGUUUCCAAGCUGCCUGGGUGUGGACAGCCUAGACUGCGUGAAUCCGCUGGACAAAGCAAUGAUUGACAUCGUUGGCAGGUUAGAGUGGGACAGAGUGAGAUUUUGUCAUGCUACUCAUAAUGACAAUGUAAACCUUAGGGAUUAUUUCUGGAAUUUUCCGUGAGUAUUUUCAGACUACAGUUGGCCACAGGUAAGCGAAAGUGGGGAAAGAGAAACUUGGGGUAAGUGGCACACUGGCGUGUUGGCCUUCAGAUGCGCUUGUCUGCCCUGUAAGUGUCUUCUGGAAGGGCUCCGUUGUUCCCCAGUCUCACAGGCUGUGUGUGUGUGUUUCCAAGACAAGUAUUUUGCACCUCCUCUGACUCCACCAACACCACGCCAAGCCUUGGAUUUUUGAGCUGCUAGUCCUGCCCACACUGUGCAGGCAGCUACCUAAAGCUCCUUUUUCUCUGACAGUUCCCCAUCUCUGUGUCAGGCUGCCCUGGGGCCUCACCCAUGGGUGACCCUCUGGUAUCAGUGCCCUCAAGACAGCUGCAGUUAAGCCCUAAACACUCCCAAGACCAAAGACGAUGCAGCCGAUGCAGUUACCAGCGAAGUUAAGUUUCGGUAAGUAUGAGCUUUUACUUUAGUACUUUCUAUUUUCUUAUUUAGAAAACAAAAUUCUGUUGCAGGAAAUGUGAACGUCCUCAAAAGAGAAGAGUGAUACAAGCCCACCUGCAUUUGCCACCCAGCUUGAGCAGUUACCACCUCAUUUCCCGUCUUGUCUGGCCUCUGUCACCGCCACACAUCUCCUUCAACAACUGAAUUAUUUCGAAGCUGAUCUCAGAGACUUUAUUUUAAUUCGUAGCUAUUUUCUAAUAGGCGAUAGUGAUGCGACUCAAAUUUAAAAGGUACAAAAGUCAAUAAGAGAAAAGCCACCCCUUGCUCUACACCUCCAUCCUACCAUGUAGUAGAUAAAAACAAAUGGCCACAAUUCUGUUCUGCUCCCAUUCAGAAACAGAAUCAAUUUCUCUACCAUGAAUUUGGACUUGGUCAUGUGAUUUGGAAGUGUUCUUGCUCUGGGAUUGCUCUCUUCUUUUUAAAUGUUAUUUAUUUGAAAGGCAGAGUUAGAGAGAGAGACAGAGAAACAGGCAGAGAGACAGAGAGAGAGAGAUAUCUUCCAUCCACUGGUUCACUCCCCAAAUGGCUGCAGUGGCCAAGGCUGGGCCAGAUUGAAGCCAGGAGCCAGGAGCUUCUUCCAGGUCUCCCACAUGGAUGCAGGGGUCCAAGCAUCCUCUGAUGCUUUCCAAGUGCAUUACCAGGGAGCUGGAUUGGAAGUGGAACAGCAAAACUCGAACUGGCACCUAGAUAGGAUGCCAGCAUCGCAGGCAGUGGCUUUAUCUGAUACACCACAGUACCAGCCCCUGGGCUUGCUCUCUUGCUCCCAAGAACUCCCAUGUUCUAGAAGCAAGAAGGUGGGCCUGACCUCCUGGAGAAGGGAGCAUGUGUGGGGAGGCCUGCCAUUCCAGCAGCCCACAGAAAUGUGAGCAGCACGCAUGGUGGUUAUUAGAAGCUGCUGAGUUUGGGCUGCCUUGGUACACAGCAUGCCCUCAGCUCCCAUACCAGCCCAGGACACUCUUUCCUGGAAUAACAGAAUCUUACAGUAUCACCAGUGUGUGAAUCCUACCCCAAAUAAUGUAUACAUGAACAAGUACAUACGUGUAUAUUGUCCUCCCUGUGUCCCCCACCCCUUUUUUCUUUUCUUUCUUUUUUUUUUUUUUUGACAGGCAGAGUGGACAGUGAGAGAGAGACAGAGAGAAAGGUCUUCCUUUGCCGUUGGUUCACCCUCCAAUGGCCACCAUGGCUGGUGCGCUGCGGCCGGCGCACCGCGCUGAUCCGAAGGCAGGAGCCAGGUACUUAUCCUGGUCUCCCAUCCCCCACCCCUUUUAUAAGCAAAUAAUAAUACACAGUCUGAACCUACAGGAAUCUAUCUGACAGAGCAAUGCGAAGAUCACCCCCAGAAGGGAUUGAGGAGCUUCCUUUAUAGGAUGUGUCCCCUAAACUUCAUAUGUUGGAGAUGGAAUCCGCAGUCAUCUGUUAAUGGCAGUUGAACGGUGAGAUCUUUGGGAGGUGGUUGUGUCAUGCCCUCAUGAGCGGAUUAAUCCAUUCACAGAUUCACAGAUUAGUAGAUUCUACAGAGAAUGGCUUUGUUAUUAAAAUGAGCUCUCUCUGGCUGGCUUGCUCGUUCCUGCCGUGCCGUGUCUGUCAUGAACAGGCAGGAUGGCCCCCACCCAGCGCAGAGCCGUGGCCAGCCUCCAGAAUCAUGUGCCAAAUAAACCUCUGUUCUCUAUAAACAGCUCACUCUCAGGUAUUCUGUUAUAGCAUCAGUAAAUGGACCAAGACACACUGUUCAGACCAUCUACUAUCUAACCACUCCUUUCUGGCUGUGCGUGCAGGUUGUUCCCAGUCUUCUGCUGUUGCAAGGAAUGCUGCAGUGCACAAGCCUGGACUCCACCAUUCUGCACAGGCGUAUUUGCAAAGGGUGAGAUCCUGGCUGUAGCGCACAGAGUUACAGAGAGAGAAGGAGAGGCAGAGAGAGGUCUUCCACCCGAUGGUUCACUCCCAAUUGGCUGCAAGGGCUGGAACUGCCAUACAAAUGGAACCCAUAUGAAGCCAGGAGCCAGGAGCUUCCUCUGGAUCUCCCACGUGGGUGCAGGGGCCCAGGAACUUGAGCCAUCUUCCACUGCUUUCCCAGGCAAUAGCAGAGGACUGGAUCAGAAGUGGAGCAGGCUGCCUUCCAAGAUGUGAUGUGGAAUCCUGCUGUUUCUGCUCCAGAAUAAAUCAAUGAUAAUCUUCAAGCCAGUGAGGGGCAAGUCAUGGGGACGAACGCCGUGUCCACAGCACUGCUAACAGAUUUCUUGGAAGCCAUUCAUAAGCACUUCGGAUUUGCCAGAUCGCUUGCUGAGCCUAAAAUACUGCACACUGUGGUGACCUUGACUCGGCUCUUUCCGUGAAUCCUCGUUUCCCUUAAGCCACGGCUGACAGUUCCAAGUCACACAGUGGGGACGGCGUGGCGGCCUCUGCAUUUCCACUAAUGGUCGUUGUCUGGCCUGGUCUGCUUGCUAUGUUCUGCUCACUUCCUGGCACUGACCGCCCUGGUGGGAGCAGCGAUGGCUGCAGAAGGGCUGGCGGCAGGGGGUGAGUGCGUGUGCCCUCUGAGGACUCGACGUCUCCUCUGGGACAACCUCCAGGCACCCGCUGUAAAGGUGUGUGUGUGUGCCAACCCGUGUUCCACGCCCGUGUCGAAGUGGCCAGCAAGCAGCCUCCGUGGCAAAAGCUCCAGCAAAACAGCUGGUGAGUGGGCCUCUAAAUGGAAGUGAUUUUCCUAGCACCAUGACAACAAGACACCCUCCACGCUAAUGGCCUUCAACCAUCCCUCGUCUUUCUCCGCUGGUUCCGGCUUAGGGUUCUUGCAGCUUAA
Oryctolagus cuniculus (rabbit) is the source of this 3542-nucleotide non-coding RNA. The record is from RefSeq and is a predicted model, not a curated record. Lineage: Eukaryota; Metazoa; Chordata; Mammalia; Lagomorpha; Leporidae.